UGAGUAACCUGCCUCAAAGAGGGGAAUAGCCUCCCGAAAGGGAGAUUAAUACCGCAUAAUAUGUUUAAGUCGCAUGACUUUAACAUCAAAGGAUUUUCUUUUAGAAAUUCCACUUUGAGAUGGACCCGCGGCGCAUUAGCUAGUUGGUGAGGUAACGGCUCACCAAGGCAACGAUGCGUAGCCGACCUGAGAGGGCGACCGGCCACACUGGGACUGAGACACGACCCAGACUCCUAGGGACGG
This 243-nucleotide ribosomal RNA is filed under the name uncultured bacterium. RNAcentral describes it as "partial 16S ribosomal RNA". It matches the Rfam family "Bacterial small subunit ribosomal RNA", at positions 118 to 348 of the family's 1533-position model. The record is from RNAcentral.